RNAcentral lists this ribosomal RNA (442 nucleotides) under uncultured bacterium. RNAcentral describes it as "partial 16S ribosomal RNA". It matches the Rfam family "Bacterial small subunit ribosomal RNA", at positions 338 to 795 of the family's 1533-position model. The record is from RNAcentral.
CCUACGGGAGGCAGCAGUGGGGAAUAUUGGGCAAUGGACGCAAGUCUGACCCAGCAACGCCGCGUGAAGGAAGAAGGCUUUCGGGUUGUAAACUGCUUUUAAGGGGGAAGAGCAGAAGACGGUACCCCUUGAAUAAGCCACGGCUAACUACGUGCCAGCAGCCGGGGUAAUACGUAGGUGGCAAGCGUUGUCCGGAUUUACUGGGUGGAAAGGGCGUGCAGCCGGAGAGACAAGUCAGAUGUGAAAUCCACAGGCUCAACCUGUGAACUGCAUUUGAAACUGGUUCCCUUGAGUAUCGGAGAGGUCAUCGGAAUUCUUAGUGAAGCGGUGAAAUGCGUAGAUAUUAGGAAGAACACCAGCGGCGAAGGCAGAUUACUGGACGACAACUGACGGUGAGGAGCGAAAGCGUGGGGAGCAAACAGGAUUAGAUACCCGGGUAGUC